CACCAACACAGCGCGCGGAACGCCGGCCGUGACGUCAUCGCACCGAUGACGCCAUGGUGUGCGCAGUGGCAAAAAAGGCCCGACCCGACCUGAAGCAGUCAGUAUCCUUGAGAAUCAUGGCUGGACAUUCUCAAAGUCAAGCUUUACUUAAUGAACCAUUACAGACAAUCCUGCGUUUUCGCCAUCAUAUUGCUUCAGCAGCAUACAUGGCGCGUAGCCUCGAACGUCUCCAGGUUCAAGUUAGCCCCCCAGCACUACCAGCUGGGGCUGCGCCGGCUCCAAGGCGUAUCGGAGGCUAUGACACGAGCCAGCCGUCCUAUUUACGAAACCCUGUUAGGAUCCCAACAGAUCCAAUGAGGAGAAUGCAACAAUUUCUGCGUCAUCUUGAGGCCGAAGGACACCCAAAAGGGACGAUCGAACAUUUUCCACGACGUAAAGGAAGAACAGGCGCAGUACACCUAAUAGAGGGGUUCGGGAAUUUAAUAUAUGCAAAUGGGGACGGACGAUAUGUAGAGAUGCGUAGAAGAAGACGUAGAAGAAGAACAGGCUCAGUACACCUAAUAGAGGUGAUUGGGAAUUUAAUACAUGCACUUGGGAACGGAGAGAUGCUUGACCGUUUUCAACGCCAAAUUUGGGAUGCAGCAGAGCUAGCUGAGAUGCUUCAACCAUUAACAGGCCUACGAGCGGCGGCUGAACAUUUUCAACCUUCUCUAAGGAGUGGCGCAGGCCAGCAAAUGCUGAAGGAACAUUUUGAACAUCAUAAUGAGGUCCCGGUAGAUUUUUAUAGUCGUUACGAAGGCCUAGCUGAUCCAACAGAGAUGAUGGAGCGUUUUUUCCGUCAUAUUGACGCGGCAGCAGACCUUGUACAGAAGCUGGAACGUUGGCGAUAUCUUCUUGAGGGUCCAGCAGGGGUUGUGAUAUAUGAAAGCAGUGAUGCCGAACCCCGGUCAUAUUUGCGACGUAAUGACGAGUCCCAAGCAACCCCAAUACAGAUGAUUAGAGAGUUUCAACAGGAUAUUCGGGAGGCUGAAAUCAUGAUACAGAUGAUUGUACAUUUUCUAAUUGUUUACAAGGACCUGGAAAACCCAAUGGAGUUGGUACGCUUUAUUUUAUUUAUUUAUUUUACAAGCGAGAGCGAAGAACCUGCAUGGCUGAUGACUAAACAUUUUGAACGCCAUAUUUGGGCCGCAGCAUAUCUAGCAGAUAGAAUUGAACGUCAUAGUGAAGACCAGCAGAUGUACAGCAAUGCAGCAGGAGGUGAACCGGAGGAAUAGGAUAGUAGGGCCCUAUGAAAUCGGUUUUAUUUUUGGCUAAGAAUUUUGCCAAAUGUAUUAUGCAUAUGUGAAUUCGCAAAAUAAAAAUAAGUAUAUUAAAUAGAAAAUGCACUUUUAGUAUUCUUUACCUAACUUGAACAUUUUAAUGUUACUUUUAUGUUCUUAAGUAUACUAGUAUGUCAGAGAAUACAAACAAACUCAUUAAGCUACACCAACACCCAAACACAGUACAUACAGUAGUGUUAUAACAACAGUGGUCCGUAUCACGGAACAAAUUGUAUUUUAAAAAA
Molecule: long non-coding RNA, 1564 nt
Filed under: Astyanax mexicanus (Mexican tetra)
Lineage: Eukaryota; Metazoa; Chordata; Actinopteri; Characiformes; Acestrorhamphidae
Description: lncRNA (ENSAMXG00005007725.1)
Source: RNAcentral